ACAACCCUAAGGCCUUCUUCACACACGCGGCAUGGCUGGAUCAGGGUUUCCCCCAUUGUCCAAUAUUCCCCACUGCUGCCUCCCGUAGGAGUCUGGACCGUGUCUCAGUUCCAGUGUGGCUGAUCAUCCUCUCAGACCAGCUAAAGAUCGUCGCCUUGGUAGGCCUUUACCCUACCAACUAGCUAAUCUUACGCAGGCUCAUCCAAUAGUGACCGGUCCGAAGAUCCCGGCCUUUCCCCCUUAGGGCGUAUGCGGUAUUAAUCCGAGUUUCCUCGGGCUAUCCCCCUCUACUGGGUAGAUUCCUACGCGUUACUCACCCGUCCGCCGCUCGACGCCUGGGAGCAAGCUCCCAUCGUUUCCGCUCGACUUGCAUGUGUUAAGCCUGCCGCCAGCGUUCAAUCUGAGCCAGGAUCAAACUCU
Molecule: ribosomal RNA, 420 nt
Filed under: uncultured bacterium
Lineage: Bacteria
Description: partial 16S ribosomal RNA
Source: RNAcentral